GGCCCUAUAGUAUAACUGGAUAGUACACCCGCCUCCUAAGCGGUCGAUUCCGGUUCGAUUCCGGAUGGGGCUA
This is a transfer RNA of 73 nucleotides. It matches the Rfam family "tRNA". From Rfam's summary of the family: Transfer RNA (tRNA) molecules are approximately 80 nucleotides in length. The record is from Rfam.